Molecule: non-coding RNA, 609 nt
Organism: Macaca mulatta (Rhesus monkey)
Lineage: Eukaryota; Metazoa; Chordata; Mammalia; Primates; Cercopithecidae
Source: RefSeq, a predicted model, not a curated record
AAGUUUUCAUAUACGUUUGUUCUAUAUGAUACCUCCAAAAAAAUUAAGGAGUGCCAGCUCCAAGGGAGAUGAGGGAGUCCUGUGGGUGAUCAUGUUGACAGAAGGACUAACAGACCUGGCAGAGGUGAAAGCAGUGGUGAGAGGAAUUAGCACGCAAUGAAGGAAGAAGAAACAUAAAAAAUUACGUAUAUCACGGAGGAUCCUGGAAGACUGCAAAAUAUAAACACGCAACCUGAGAGCCAAAUUAGGGAAGAUAUACAUUUUAUUCAACGUGGGAUUUCAGGUUGGCAGGAAACCCACCCAUAGGCCUCUAAGAUAUCAAAGGACUGAAACUUACCAGAUCACUGCCCAAUAUACAUCAAGUAGAAGGAGACAGUCUCUAAAUUUAGAAAACACCAAGAGGGGCAGGCAAUGACUCACACCUAUAGUUGGGUCCUGGAUGCUACAGUGAGCAAUGUUGGAGACAGGAUCCCAGAGUGAGCCCAAAUAAACACAUGACGUGUACUGCGAGGUGAACACCCAACAUCACACAGCUGGUGAGUGGCUUUCUAGAUUCAAAGUUCUGCUAUGUAGUAUUGCAGAAAUGAAUAAAUCUGGCUUCCACUAUGA